Molecule: long non-coding RNA, 932 nt
Organism: Capsicum annuum
Lineage: Eukaryota; Viridiplantae; Streptophyta; Magnoliopsida; Solanales; Solanaceae
Exons: 2
Source: RefSeq, a predicted model, not a curated record
UAAUUUGUCCAAGAAGCAUGACACUAUGAAUAAUUCAUCGCACCAAAGCGGAGGAGUGCAGUCAGUUGGUGAUAUAACCAGUGCGGCACAUAUCGACAAUGAACAGACGCAAGUUGCACCUCUAAUUAGGGAUCUGAUAACACCUGAACUGAAGCUUAAUCCUAAAAGGACUAUGUCAAUGAACAACACACUACAAUCAAAUCUAGUCUAAUUAAUGAGUCGAUGAAUCAGAAUAUGGGUAAAUCUACUGGAAAAUCAAUUGAAGGAGAUAUGAAAGGAAGGUUGGGGAAAAGCCCUGAUUUGAAUUUGUAGAUCUCGAGCUCACAACCAAUAGAAUAGUGUCAAUCUACUGAACCUGUGCGAGUGUCUAAAGAAACAGGACAAGAACUACAAAUAGAAUUUGUGUCAUAAUUUGGGGGAAGCUGAUAUCCAUGAAGAUGAUGCAAACCCAUCAGAGAAUCCACGCGAAUCAAUAGAAAAGGCAAAUCCCAUAUGAUACACCAGAUCCGUGUAAUUGAGAGAGUCAUCAUAUCAAUGCCUUGGGGAAAUGCCUACCUCUUUAAACUAUAUCCCUUCUAUUGUUAUAAAUAGUGAAAUUAUAGUGCAAUUGGAUAGAGAGGAGGUGGAAAAGGAGAAUGCAAAAUGGAGAGGUGCUCUAAUAGCUUAUGUUAUAGGAAAGUUGCCUGGAUAUAACUAUAUAAGGGGGUACAAAGAUAGAACCUGGAUAGACAUUGUUACAUAUGAUUUUUUUACCUUUAUGAAGAUGGUUACUAUGUUAUUAGGUUCCAGACUGUGGCAGAGAUGCAACACAUUUUGUAUUCUGGUCCUCAUAUGUUUAACAAUAGAGCUAUCAUUCUUAAACAAUGGUCUGUAGAUUUUAACUUUAAUGAUGAAUUCUUAAUGGAGAUUUCCUUAUCGGCUAGUUUUCCUAA